UACGAAGGGGGCUAGCGUUGCUCGGAAUCACUGGGCGUAAAGCGUGCGCAGGCGGCUAUGCAAGACAGAUGUGAAAUCCCCGGGCUCAACCUGGGAACUGCAUUUGUGACUGCAUGGCUAGAGUACGGUAGAGGGGGAUGGAAUUCCGCGUGUAGCAGUGAAAUGCGUAGAUAUGCGGAGGAACACCGAUGGCGAAGGCAAUCCCCUGGACCUGUACUGACGCUCAGGUGCGAAAGCGUGGGGAGCAAACAGG
RNAcentral lists this ribosomal RNA (253 nucleotides) under uncultured bacterium. Its description in RNAcentral is "partial 16S ribosomal RNA". It matches the Rfam family "Bacterial small subunit ribosomal RNA", at positions 524 to 776 of the family's 1533-position model. The record is from RNAcentral.